This 381-nucleotide ribosomal RNA is filed under the name uncultured bacterium. RNAcentral's name for it is "bacterial SSU rRNA". It matches the Rfam family "Bacterial small subunit ribosomal RNA", at positions 524 to 904 of the family's 1533-position model. The record is from RNAcentral.
UACGUAGGGUGCAAGCGUUAAUCGGAAUUACUGGGCGUAAAGCGUGCGCUGGCGGUUCGGAAAGAAAGAUGUGAAAUCCCAGAGCUUAACUUUGGAACUGCAUUUUUAACUACCGAGCUAGAGUGUGUCAGAGGGAGGUGGAAUUCCGCGUGUAGCAGUGAAAUGCGUAGAUAUGCGGAGGAACACCGAUGGCGAAGGCAGCCUCCUGGGAUAACACUGACGCUCAUGCACGAAAGCGUGGGGGAGCAAACAGGAUUAGAUACCCUGGUAGUCCACGCCCUAAACGAUGUCAACUAGCUGUUGGGGCCUUCGGGCCUUGGUAGCGCAGCUAACGCGUGAAGUUGACCGCCUGGGGAGUACGGUCGCAAGAUUAAAACUCAA